UUCUCACGCCCUUUCCCUUCGUUGGCCUUGUUUCGUUUCAACAGAACACGCAGCCGAACGCAUUCCCUUUGUGCAGCUAACCGCUGUGAAUCCAGUUUUCUUUGCGGUUCCGGUGCCGGGGAGGUGUGGACUCCACCCAGAAUCAGCUCGGUCAAAGAAGAGAAAAAUACCACUAAGAGAAAAUACGUUAUCUGUGUCAGUAUCAGAUAAAACAGAAUGUAAGGUAGCAAAGCCAAAUGCUGAUUUCUUGGAAAUGCAAACAUAAAGAUAAGUUUCUGGAAGUGCUGACAAGAAAAAGAGAAGAGUCGUAAAGUGGCUAGAAUUUCUAGCAGUGAGCGUGAAAGCAGAAUUUCUACCAUGACCCCAAUCUUUGAAGGAAAGUACAUAGUCUUUUGCCAGUCCUGGUCCACUGUGGAAUUCUGGCUGUACCAGCUUCCUUCUGACCCGAGGCUGACUCUGAGCCCCAUCCCACCCCUAGGAUCUUUUAUCUCUUUUUCAUGUUGCUAGGGAUGGAAGACAGUGCUUCACACUUGCUUUACCAAUGUUCUACCACUGAGCCACAUUGCAGCCCAAAAUGCACCUGUGUAUUACCAAGAAUUUACACCAAUGUUUCCUUCUGCUCUGCUGGGAACUUCUUCCCUGAAUCCUGCUGAAAUGUCACCUCUUUGUUGAGGCCUUUGCCACACUAUUCCCUGAAAAUAUAUUAGUUGAUGGUUUAUUGUCAGUCUCUUAAGCUCCCUGUAUUGUGUGCUCUGGCACAGACAGGGCCUGGCACAAAGUAGGUGGUCAGAUCUCCAAUGAGUGGAAGGAUGGCCCUGUCUUCAUGCCCCUCUUGGAUCUGGACUAGGCCACUUGGAGACCAUCCUCAACCUGUGGGCAGGUUUGAUGGAGGCAAUGUCAGCCCUGCUGUCCUCCCAGGCCUCUCUGUACUGGUCCUCGCUCUACUGCAAGUGGGUAUCUUGACCACACAUGCAGCCUGAAAUUCCACAACAGAUCCUGGAGAUACUGUGAGGCUGUUGUCAAAGAGACAGAAGCUCACCUGAGGCACUUCAGGGUGCCAUGAAUGGGCCCAAAGUGGUUGAGAGAGGGAAGGCAGAUAGGCAGACAAAGGGAGAGAGCCUUGUGCAGGUUGUACCCCAGGGUGGAGACAGGAUGAUCUGAGAAGGCUGAGGCAGUUGACCCUGGAAGAUGGUGGUAUAGAAUGUGGAGGGAAGGCUGGGAAAGGUCCCUGGACUGAAGCCAAGGGGAAGCAGAAUUAACACGUGGAUCCCUGUGGUAGAUGGGUGAGGGGACUUGCAGGAGGACCUAUAGAAGAGGAGUGAUCUACAAGUCUGCAGCAGGAGAAAGACCUCCAGUGAUACAAUGGCUAGGAGGAGGCCCUCCACUCUGUAGGGAAAGGGCAGCUGCAGGCAAGCAAGGACUCUAAAAACUUCCCUGUACCCCAGGGCCAGCAAACUGGCCUUCAGCACCUUCCCAUGCUAGAAGAAUCAGGCACUGGCCUUACCUCAUUUAUCCCCUCAGAGCCAUCUCCAACAGGGAGAAGGAAUCUGGGGCCUAGAAGGGGGAGAUGAUCAGUCAUGUCAGUGACUGGCCUCACCAAAGCCACUUACUCUGUGGAGAGCCUGAGCACUUUGAGCCAGAGGGAAAAAUACACUCAGCAGCCUCAGUGUAGGGCUGGGAGUCCAGACUUAGCUGGAAACAAAGAGGCCAUCAGGGGAUGGGGAGGAGACUGCUGGAAAAGGGCUGGCGCCCCAUGGGGCCAGGACCUAGUGCCCCCACCUGAGCCUUAGGGGGCCUGCAGCAUACACCCCAGUGGACCUUUCAAGAAAUGGCUGGGCUAUUGUGCAGAAGAAUGCCCGGAAAUCCCUCCUCCAGCAAGGAUGGGGGCUCUUCCUCCAGGUCAGGAAACUCCAAGUUGGCUUCCGGAGGGUGGCCUGGGGGCUGGGGUGGCAGGCACCAAACACUACUGGUGGGAGGGCUGUACCCAGCCCCUAGGUCCCUUUGUGUCUGCUGUCUGAGAAGCAAAGCAGGCUGCCUAGCUGGGGCCACUGCAGCCAGUGGGAACAGAGCCUAUGAACUCUGAGGACUUUCAUAAGUGGUGCUGACUAACCUGGGCUUCAAAAGAUGGGGGAUAAGCAGCACUACAGGAAGAGGAGCAGCAGGCCAAGCAGAGGGGUCUGGAAAGCCCCCACGCAGGGGCAGAGUAGGCAUUGCCUGGAUAAGGCCCCUGUACCACCUACUUUGUAUCAGGGCCUGACCUCCAAGGAGGCAGCAGGUCAUCUGGAGGAGGAUGGGAUCCUGAGCCUGAUGCCUACGGGCUUGCCAUCUCUGCCUGGCAUGGCUCCUCCAGAGUGCUGAAGCUCAGGGAGCACUGGGGAGGGAGAGUGCAAGGAAUAAACCUGGCUUGAUCUCCAGGACGGGCUUUCUGGAUAAAGGCCUAGCGUACCUUACUUCAACUGAGCGGAAGGACUUCAACAGCCUCUCCAGGCAGGCCUCUGCAGGCUGGUAUUAAGGUGAGGUUGGCUCCUGCAGCGAUGUAGGGUGGAGGGGGCAGUUCAGCCCGGGGGUUUUGAGCUCCGAAAGUGCGGGGGCCAGGACAAGCCAUAGGUAGCUCGAGGAGUGAGCCUUGCCCCCAAGGCCAGUCCAGAACCUCUCGAGCUGUGACUAGGACAAGGGGGGUUGGGGUCUGCGGCCACUGGGUGCGGUC
Chinchilla lanigera (long-tailed chinchilla) is the source of this 2707-nucleotide long non-coding RNA. RefSeq lists it as uncharacterized. The transcript has 4 exons. NCBI's taxonomy places the organism in Eukaryota, Metazoa, Chordata, Mammalia, Rodentia, Chinchillidae. The record is from RefSeq and is a predicted model, not a curated record.